CCCUGUACCUGGCAGGGGAGAUACCAUGAUCAAAAAGGUGGUUCACCCAGGGCGAGGCUCAGCCAUUGCACUGUCGGUUGUGCUGACCCCUGUGAAUUCGCCAAAUGCGGGAAUUUCAACUGCUUAAUUUGUAAUUUGUCUUUUUGGAAAAACA
RNAcentral lists this small nuclear RNA (154 nucleotides) under Amphilophus citrinellus (Midas cichlid). RNAcentral's name for it is "U1 spliceosomal RNA (ENSACIG00000000881.1)". It matches the Rfam family "U1 spliceosomal RNA". Rfam says of the family: U1 is a small nuclear RNA (snRNA) component of the spliceosome (involved in pre-mRNA splicing). Its 5' end forms complementary base pairs with the 5' splice junction, thus defining the 5' donor site of an intron. The record is from RNAcentral. Lineage: Eukaryota; Metazoa; Chordata; Actinopteri; Cichliformes; Cichlidae.